This 1605-nucleotide ribosomal RNA is filed under the name Triticum aestivum (bread wheat). RNAcentral describes it as "partial small subunit ribosomal RNA". Lineage: Eukaryota; Viridiplantae; Streptophyta; Magnoliopsida; Poales; Poaceae. The record is from RNAcentral.
AUGGACCCGCGAGUGAUCCUCGGCCCCUCCGGGAUCAUCUCUAGGAGCGAUAUUCGCGCCGACCUAGAGCGCCAUGGCCAGGACCCAGAGACGCUGGAUCUCGGCUCCAACAUGAUGCUCCACUUCGUGUACAAGUACCUCCCGGCCCCGCCCGUCUCCCCCACCGCCACCCUCCCGCUCGCCGGCACUUCAUGGGUCCCCGACGGCGUCGACCGCAUCAGCCGCCUCCCCGAUGUGGUCCUCCUCGACAUAAUCUCCCGCCUCCCCGCCAAGGACGCCGCGCGCACCGCCGCCCUCGCCUCGCGCUGGCGCCCCCUUUGGCGCUCGGCGACCCUUGCUAUUGUCGACAGCCAUAUGCUUCCGGACGGUGGCGCGUCCGGCCCGUUCAUCAUCGGCGCUCCCUCCCCCCGCGUCGUCACCGCGUCGGUCUCCAGGGCCCUCGCGGCGCACCCGGGGCCCUUCCACUUCGUCCACCUCACCUGCAGCAACAUGGACGAGCACCGAGGCGAGAUGGCGAGCUGGAUCAACACCCUCGUCGCCAAGGGGGUCCAAGAUCUCGUCUUUGUCAACCGCCCUUGGUCGAUUGACCUGUGCCUCCCCACCACACUCUUCAGCUGCGCCUCCCUCACCCGCCUCUGCCUUGGCGUCUUCAUGCUCCCAGACACCGCCGCCGUGCCGCACGGCGCCAGAUUCCCCUACCUCCGGGAGCUCAUCCUCUGCUUGAAUACCAUGGAAGAGCGUGAUCUCGCCUUCUUGCUUGAAAGAAGUCCCGUCCUGGAGUUCCUCUUCAUCAUGGGAAACCAGGCCGGCGGAGUGCGCCUCCGCCUUGCCAGCCACAGCCUGCGGUGCGUUCAGCUCGGCUUUUCCUUCUCGGAGGACAUCGAUGUGGUGGAUGCUCCUCGCCUGGAGAGGCUCUUUCAUUUUGGCGAGCUCGCCCAUUCCCACAGGAUGGACAAUACGAUCAAGAUUGGCCGUGCACCUAACCUGCGUGUGCUGGGAUACCUUCAGCCCGGAGGGCAGGAAUUGGGGAUUAGCAACACCGUCAUAGUGGCUGGGAACAAGGAGAACACUGCCCCUAGUGUCCAGAUUUUGGCCAUGGUGGUGCAGUUCGGUGUCCGCAGCGCUGUGAAGAAAGUGGCUGACUUUCUUAGAUGCUUCCCCAACCUGGAGACGCUCCAUGUCCAUUCCCCCAUCUUAUCUGAAGAGCACACUGGCAAGGUCAAUCUCAAGUUCUGGCAGGAGGAUGGUCCCAUCAAAUGCGUGGUGCAGAGCAUGAAGAAGGUGUUCUUCUACGAGUUCCGAGGGUCGAGAAGCGAGGUUGCUUUCCUCAAGUUCAUCGCGGAGCGAGGGCGGGUGCUGGAGCAGGUGGUGGUCGUGGUGGCCGAGGAAUGUUUCUCUCCGGGGGAUGAUGGUAUGAAUGCCAAGCUGAAGCCUCUGACCAGCGCAAAGUGGAACAACAAAUCUUGCAAACUGCAGCUCUUCAAGAGCCCGUUCAGUGGCGGGGGAGGUCCAGCUUACUGCCACCAGAUAGCUGCUGAUUUUGGGUUUGCUGACCCUUUCGACCUCCAGUACUACUACAAAGCAGAAAGGAUCCCUGUAAGUUAG